Molecule: ribosomal RNA, 346 nt
Filed under: uncultured bacterium
Lineage: Bacteria
Description: partial 16S ribosomal RNA
Rfam family: Bacterial small subunit ribosomal RNA
Source: RNAcentral
CCUACGGGAGGCAGCAGUGAGGAAUAUUGGUCAAUGGGCGCGAGCCUGAACCAGCCAAGUAGCGUGAAGGAUGACUGCCCUACGGGUUGUAAACUUCUUUUAUAAAGGAAUAAAGUGAGGCAAGUGUGCCUUAUUGUAUGUACUUUAUGAAUAAGGAGCGGCUAACUCCGUGCCAGAAGCCGCGGUAAUACGGAGGAUCCGAGCGUUAUCCGGAUUGAUUGGGUUUAAAGGGAGCGUAGAUGGGUUGUUAAGUCAGUUGUGAAAGUUUGCGGCUCAACCGUAAAAUUGCACUUGUUACUGGCAGCCUUGAGUACAGUUGCGGUAGGCGGAAUUCGUGGUGUAGCGG